AGCUUCGGAACGUCUGUUUCGCGCCAGCCAUCCUUACUGAUAAAGAAAAGAAACGCUAUUACAAGGCAUACAAGAGCACUGAAGCGUAUGUAUUUUAAAUCAGGAUGGGUGAAUGAUCCUAGAUUUUAUCAUCUGGAGAUGAAGAAACUUUUCUUAUUUACAGGAAAGGUUAAGCAUUCACAAAACCUUUCUGUGACCCCAACACAUCCCUGGAUCACAGUCCAAGAGGACGGGACAGUACUAAUGGCUUAUUGCACCUGUAAGGCAGGCCUAGGAGAGGUCUGCUCUCAUGCAGCAGCUCUUCUGUUCUCUGUGUUGGCUGCUGCUGAUAUUAAAAACGGGCAGGCUUGCACCGAGAAGCCUUGUGCUUGGGCUCAGACAAGUAUGAACUCUGUCAGAGGGGUCCCAUAUGAAGAGAUCUGCAACAUCAGUUUUUCUCAUAAAGAAGAGCCAUGUUCAAGCCGUGAAGAUCAAGGUCCUGGUUGUCCUGAUAUCAGACCAUCAGAUAAAGACUGCCAAGCAUUCUUUGAGGCGCUUCAUAAUAGUGAAUUGCAGGAGUCCAAACCAAAGAAGAGUGUGAUCCUCUCUGUCAUUGAGGGCCACUCCCACAGAUAAGAUGCUCUGCUCCACAGACUGACUGAAAACUAAGCUCUUUUGUGGCUUGCACAUAAUACUUUACAGCUAAUCUCAGUUAUGACAGGGGAAAACAAAAACAUGGGCUAAUUAUAAUGAGUAAUUACUACAGGUCUAGAAUAUUUAACUGUACAUUUGUUCUUUUGUCACUUUAAAUAGUCUGGACACUAUUUAUUGUCACUUAAAAUGUCUUGUUUCUGUUUCUCUCUCACAGGUACAUCCCAAAGGUGAUGCAACUGGACUUGCCAGCUCCUCUUUCCACAUUAUACUCAAGCACCUGGCUGGAGAUGGACUUUCCCUUGCUGCUGAUUGAGAGUACAAAGGUCUUUGAUGAUCUACAUCUAACAAAGCAACAGAUGGGGUCAACAUAAUGAGGACAGAGCAAGGGAAAGCUAUGUUGCUAUGAUGCAAGACCACCAUGAAGACUUCCAGGUGAGGGCAUCAGGGUUCAUCAUCAACCCAGAACUCCCCUGGAUUGGAGCAUCACCUGAUGGUUUGGUAGCCUGCAUUUGCCAUGGAGAUGGCAUUUUAGAGAUAAAAUGCCCCUUCAAAACCAGGAACUGCUCCCUCACUGAAAGCUGCAAGGAUUACUCAUUCUGUCUUGGCAUAGGAGAGGAUGGGGUCAUGGCACUGAGACAUUUCCACAAGUACAUGUAUCAAGUGCAGGCACAAAUGCACAUUGCAGAGGUGAGUUACUGUGACUUCAUGGUGUGGACACCACAGGAAGUUUUCACCCAGCGAAUUCCAUAUGAUCCUGUCUUCUUACACGAUGCUUACGACAAAGUGGUGAAUUUCAUCAAGAAUGGAGUGCUCCCUGAGCUGCUGGGGAAAUGGUAUACAGCACCACGCCUUACUCCCAUAUACACCACAGCCACAAAACAGCCACCUGAAGUGGGAUGCUACUGUGGUCAACCUGUGGCCACAGAUGUCAUCAUUUGCACAUCUGGAAAUUGUAGGCGAAAGCACUUUCACAAGACCUGCCUUAAGCUGACCAGGGUGCCUAAGACAUGGAAAUGUGUGGAGUGCAGAAAACAAGUUUAGUAUUACCAGUCUGUGACAGGGGAGCUGACUGACCUAAUGAUAGUCUUGUGUAAAGUACUUGAAACAAUACUUGAGUAAAAGUACAAGUAUCUGGUUCCUACACAGCCUGUUUUUGCACACGCUAAUUACAAUAUCUGUAUUAUAUUUUUGACUCUUAUGUAUAUUGUAUAAUUCGGUCUGCUAUACUUGCACUAUCUGUAUAUUGACUUUUUUUCUACAUUCAACAUUCUUAUAGACAGUUAUCUCAGGUUUAUUGUGUGAUCUCUGAUCUACAUCAGUAACUACACUGUAUAUUUGGCUCUACACUACGUUUUAGCUUCUUACAGACCGUCUAUGUAUGCUUAUUGUUAUAAUUGUAAUUGCCUUGUAAUGGCUACUUAUGCUGCACUUUAUGUAGCUAGUAAGUAAAAAGUUAAAGUUGUAAGUUAAAGUUUCCUUUUAGAAUAUUACUUAAAGUAAGUCUUAAAGUGUCUGUUAUUUACUGUACUUAAGUAUCCAAAGUAAUUUUCUGAUAUUAAAUGUACUUGAAUAUUAGAAGUGUGUGUAUGUGUGUGUGUGUGUGUGUGUGUGUGUGUGUAUAUAUAUAUAUAUAUAUCCAUACACACACUU
This is a long non-coding RNA of Xyrauchen texanus (razorback sucker), 2283 nucleotides long. RefSeq lists it as uncharacterized. The transcript is spliced from 3 exons. NCBI's taxonomy places the organism in Eukaryota, Metazoa, Chordata, Actinopteri, Cypriniformes, Catostomidae. The record is from RefSeq and is a predicted model, not a curated record.